AUUCCAAGUACAGUGGUACCUUGGGUUACAUACGCUUCAGGUUACAUACGCUUCAGGUUACAGACUCCGCUAACCCAAAAAUAGUACCUCAGGUUAAGAACUUUGCUUCAGGAUGAGAACAGAAAUUGUGCUCCGGCGGGAAAUUGUGCAGCAGUGGGAGGCCGCAUCAGCUAAAGUGGUGCUUCAGGUUAAGAACAGUUUCAGGUUAAGAACGGACCUCCGGAACGAAUUAAGUACUUAACUCAAGGUACCAUUGUAGUUUUACCUGCCCUGACCCAAAGCCUUUGAUGAUAAGGUCCCCCCCCCCCAAAAAAACCCCACACAUCCAGGUCAGAGAAUUAAUGUAAGUAAAGCAAUAUUUUAUUCAGGAUGCACACCAUUAAUUAUUCCCGCUUUUUUUUAGGAAUAACAGAACAUCAGCAACCCUUUCUUGCCCGUCAUAAUGCCAAACUAGCUGUAGUUAACCAUAUUUCUUUUGCAUUUGAAGGUGAAUUCAAGUUAGUUUGGAUCUAACAUGGGGCUGGAAGUUAAAGCUGGACAGCACUUUAUCCAUCAAAGUAGAGUUCAAAGUAAAAAUUAAAAAAAAUGCUAAUAUAAAGUAGCUGUUUGGAAGAGAGAGCAAAACCCCCAAAUGACCCAAACUUCAAAAGGGACCAACGUCAAGCAGUUGCAUUGAAGUUCCCUUAAUAAAUAAACAUUUGAAUCUGAAAGGAACAUUUUCACCUUUCUAGCUUGACAGCUGACCAUUGCAACCUCUCCACUGAUAUUUUAUGCAGUAAUUACUUCCCUCAAUGCAGAAAGCUUUUCUACUCCAAUAAAAUUAAAUACAAACAUGCUUUCUCUCUGUUUCUCUCUCUCUCUCUCUCGCUCUAUAUAUUAAAGAGGGAGAAUAUCUCCGUCAAAGCUCUAGUGUAUGUUUGGGACUCACAACCGUGAUCCUCUGCUUACUUAACCCAGACAGCAAUAUUUUUCUUCUCUUAAUUCAGUUCAGUGUAUCGCUUUGAUUUAGAAAAUCCCAACAUCGUAGCAGCUUGUAAAGAUGUGAGUACAGUAGUUAGUAAAAAGCCUGCUUUGAGUUAAGGAAUGUCGGGGAACUUUGGCACGGCUAAGAACAAUGAGAAGCCUGGGAUCUUUUGAUCUCGCAGCCCACUCAGAGCCGAGGCAGCGGCUCACAGCUUUUGGCAUAUGAACCACUCCGAGUGGGAGGAAACAUCUCGUCCCUUUGCCCCAGAUUUUAGCUCUGGCACCAGUUCUUGUGCAGUCUUUGCCGCUGUCUUGCAAGCCCUCAUUUCAGCACUCUGAGGGUAGAACUGCAUUUUACAAUAAAUUUGGGUGGCCACUUAUGCAUAGUCAAGAAAGAGGACAAAAGCGGGUGAGGAUCUGCAUACGAUUUGCAAGGGCUACUUCACAUAUAGAAACACACACUGAGAAAUGGUGACUGUCCUUUAUGUGGAAAUGCAAUGUAUCACCCCACAGUGAAGCUCACUGCACAGUGAGAUGGGAUCAGGGGCUUCUCUGUGGUGGCACCUCAGUUAUGGAACUCUGUCCCCUCUGAGGUAGGAAUAGGGCUGAUGUUGUAUAUUUUACAGUGCCAGCUGAAGACUCACUUCUUGGCCUGGACCUUCGAAGGGAAUGGAAUGCGUAGCCUGCUGGAAAUGAUGGGCUUUCAACAGCUAUACUGUUAUAUUCUCAUAAAUAUCUGUGCUUGAUCUUUUAAUUGUUACUUUAUUUCUUCUGUUUUAAGGUCUUAUUUUGACUUGGGACGAUUAUAUUGAUCAAUUGCAGGCUCAAAAUGGAAUAAAAUGAAUGAGUGACCAGGUGACCUGCAUGAAACCAGCUGAGCAAUGCUGCCCCACCUCAGCCACCCUGCUGGCUCCUACGGCUACUUCCGGUAUAUUACCUGUAGCUCCUACCAUCCCAGAACAUCAGCCUCUGCAUCCGGAUAGCAUCUGUGGUGGCUCUCCAUCCAUCUCAGUUACAAGGCAGGCCCCGUACCUUGAGUGCAAGUGCUUCAUUGUCAGUGCUGACCUCUGAUCUUCACUCGGUGCAAAGGAACUGUCAGUUGAGAACAAAGAGAGUUUUGCAAAAGCGUCCCCUGCAGUAACUUCAGCUAAGUCAGUCUGAUAAGUUAUUUUCACUGCUGCCUAAUGUGCUUUAUGCUAUCCGUUUGGUCCCAAAAGAAGCAUUUGUUUCUGGGCUCCCCACAUCCCCUUUAGUCAAAAAAGUAAUAACCAGCUCUUAGAGACAGCACGAUGGCCCUGAAGUCUGAAUUUACUUGGCACCGUGACCCAUCAGUUUAUUGUGAUGUGAAUUUUGGACCUCAGGUCUUUUUGAUAGCCACCAGCUUCAUGUAUCUGACCCCAAGGGUCAGACAGAGAGAACUGGAGGCCACAUUUCUCUGAAGUUUUCCAUCCCUGGUCUACAUAGCUCUUCCUCCCUGCCCCAUUUGCCAUUCAAAAACAAUCUCCUAUAAGCUGCUGCUUGUCCUUAAAGUGCUCUUUGCAUGGAAUACUCAGGAUGAAACGGUGAAAUCUGCUAUGAUUAAAUGGGCACAAGAUGUUGGACAUAACAUAAUGAUGGCUGACUGGGAACAGUUAUGGACCACAGGUAUGAAGUUUACGGCAUGCAAUGCCUUAAGAGAGAAUAUUAUGAAAAUGAUAUACAGGUGGUACAUGACCCCAGUCAAGCUUGCAAAAAUCUAUCAUUUGCCUGAUAACAAAUGUUGGAAAUGUAAAGAAACUGAAGGUACAUUCUUUCACCUUUGGUGGACAUGCCCAAGGAUUAAGGUUUUCUGGGAGAUGAUCUAUAAUGAAAUGAAAAAGGUAUUUAAAUAUACCUUUCUGAAGAAACCAGAGGCCUUUCUCCUGGGCAUGGUCGGCCAAUUGGUGUUAAAGAAGGAUAGAACUUUCUUUAUGUAUGCCACAACAGCAGCAAGAAUACUUAUUGCAAAGUACUGGAAGACACAAGACCUACCCACUCUGGAAGAAUGGCAGAUGAAGGUGAUGGACUAUAUGGAAUUGGCGGAAAUGACUGGCAGAAUCCGAGACCUGGGAGAAGAGUCGGUGGAAGAAGAUUGGAAGAAAUUUAAAGACUAUUUACAGAAAUAUUGUAAAAUUAAUGAAUGUUAGAAUGAUGUUAGACUGAAAUUAGGUGGUUUAAGCAGUAAUGCUAUAAAGGUGUAUGUAAAAAAGGAUUGAUAAUAGGUGAAAAUUUAAAGUUAUAGUAUAUUAAGUUAAAGGAUCAUGAGAAAAUAAAGAGGGAAAGAAAUUGCUGACUUAACUAAUUGAACUGGAAUACAAAAAAAGGGAGGUAUGAGGAGGUCAGGGAAACAAGGAUAUGAAUGUAAGCUAUGGAAAAAUUGAUCUAUUUUUCUUUUUUUUUCUUUUUAAGUGUUUUUUAUUCUUUUAUUCUGUAUUUUGUAUUUUGUAUUUUUCUUGUAUUUUUACUUCUUGUUUUUGUGUAAUUCUUUUUUUUAUGAAAUUUCAAUAAAUAUC
Non-coding RNA from Podarcis lilfordi (Lilford's wall lizard), 3494 nucleotides. The record is from the annotation of a GenBank genome assembly. Lineage: Eukaryota; Metazoa; Chordata; Lepidosauria; Squamata; Lacertidae.